GACAGAGGUGCCAAGCGUUAGGCGGAAUCACUGGGCUUAAAGCGUGUGUAGGCGGACUUUUAAGUGUUUUGUGAAAUCCCACGGCUUAACCGUGGAACUGCUUAACAUACUGGGAGUCUUGAGCUGCCUAGGGGUCGCUGGAACAAACGGUGGAGCGGUGAAAUGCGUAGAUAUCGUUUGGAACGCCAAAGGUGAAAACAGGCGACUGGGGGCAAGCUGACGCUGAGACACGAAAGCCAGGGGAGCAAACGGG
Molecule: ribosomal RNA, 253 nt
Filed under: uncultured bacterium
Lineage: Bacteria
Description: partial 16S ribosomal RNA
Rfam family: Bacterial small subunit ribosomal RNA
Source: RNAcentral